UGGGAGGGCAAAGGAAGAAAUUUAAUUUUUAUUUUUAUUUAAUGACAUAGGGCUUCGUGAUUUUGUGUAUAUAUAGUUCUCCAUCAUCUACCUUUUACUGAGUUAGGGUUUUAGCCAGGCUGCGCUUGGGCACCAAUGAUUCUAGCUGUACAAUCACAUCGGUAGGACGCAAAUUGUUUUCUAUGUAUAUGGAUUUUGAAUAUAUGGGGCUGGAGUUUGGCUCUUUGGCUGGUUACCUGUGCCAUAGAGAUGAAUGCAGCUCCCUAAAUCAAUCUUCUCAUCCUCUCACUCUUGUUCGCUACGAUUUUUUCUUAUCAUAGCGAAUUUCUUUGUGAGGUUGUCACAUUUUAUUCUUUAAAAAUCCUUUUUUUUUUUUUUCUAAAUUUUCAUUUAAUUGGUUUCUGCCUUUCUUCUUUAAAGUUAAUUAUCGAGCAGUAAUUCAGGCAGCCUCUUUGCAGAAGAUAUAGUAGCGAAGAAGGUGUUUAACUGCUCGGAUAUUAAUUGCCUUUUGCUCUUCAGACUUGCUGAUUUUUCAUUGAAGCUGGUCUAGUAAGCCUAAGCACAGUUAUGACUUUUCAUCUAUUUUCUUACCCCUUUCUUCCUUGUAAGUUGAAUUUUAUAGAUUGUUUGUUCGGUGGCAAGUGUGGGAAGCAAGAAGAAAAGGAAAGAAAAUCCAAUAAAUUUCUUUUUUAUUGGGAUUUUAGAUGAGGAAUCAAGGGGAAUAUCAAUAUCAUUAUCAAUAUAAACUAUAUAUAGCGGAUUGGUUGGUUGCAGAAGCCUACUUCUCUCUGAUGCUCUUUUGAAAUAAUCUUGAUCUCCAUUUUGUUAGUCUGUCUAGUCUGAACAAAAUUCCAUAGUUCAUUAUUAAGAAAAUAAAAAUUUUGCAGCUUUGCAUCAGUGUGUUUAUACCAACGAAGUGCUUGCUUGAGAACAAGAUGAGGUGAUAAUUAGAAGAAUCAUUUAAAGUUAAUCUAGAAGAAGAAGAAAUUCAACUUAAAACUUUAGAAGUGGAAAUUCAGCCUUCUAUGCGUCUUAAAAAAUAAAAUUUAAAGUGAUAUGUUGAAUUAACAGUAAGCUUAUUAUUGUAUUGUGUCUUGCUCUGAUACCAUAUCCAAGCAUUGGCUCAAUUUAAGUUUGCUGAAGUUAAAAUCCAGGUCUGAAUUUACAUUUUUGUUUCAAAUGUCUGGCUUAGAUUCUGCGUGUUAUUUAAGUAUGGAAUUUUUUGGUUUGAAUUAGUGAUCUUAAAUUGUCUUGUUCCUUUCCUUCCUGAGGAUUUAUUUAUCCUAUCAGGUUUCAGUACAGUUUGUUACUUCCUGACAAACUCAAUUGUAAGAAUUAAUUGAUAGAUAUCUUAUUUUAACAUAGUCCUAUGUAUGCUGCUCUGUGUUUUGCAGCAUAUUUAUUAGCAGGUGGUGUGAGCCUUCUAUUAAUGCUAUGUGUCUGUCAUGCCAUUGCUUGGAUUUCUGUUUGAAUGUACCUUAGAAUCCUGUAUACGUGAUUUGUGAUUUAUGGAUGCAUCUCUUUAAAAGAUAUUAUGGUGAUAAUCCUCACUUCUAUGCUUAAAAUUUUGAUGCAGAUUGGAUACGUCUUAUGUCCUAACUGUAAAUUUUUCAAAUGUGUUACCUUCCCAAAUUAUAGUGAUGGUGUGGAUCCAUUCUGAUGAGUCUUGUCGAGCUGGGAAUAUUUCAACCACUUUGCUUAGAGUUUUUUUUUUUUUUUUAAGGAGCUUAUUUAAGGUUCCUGUCUUUUCCAUUUAUUGCCUUUCAAAAGAUAUUCUUUGAGAAGCCUCUUUGUAACGUGCAUAUAUGAUUAAUGCAAUAUAGAUUGAAGGGCUAAAUAUGACUUCUUGUAUAUGCUUCACUGUGAUUGAUGAGUCAAAUAGUUCAGCACUGAUUGUUGAAUGCAGUAAUAGUUUUGGAUAAUUUUUUUCUUCUUUUUUUUUAUAAUGGCAAAAAGGGCUUUGACCAGGAGGCCAAGACCAAUUUGGUAUAUGUUCAUUAGACUUGAUGUGUCCUUUAUGGCUAGCAGAUGCAGAUGUACUGAUGGUGGUGAUUUAAGUUUUGGAAAAAUGGCAAAACUGUUCUGAUAUAUGUUAUUUCACUGUGAACAACAGCUAUCCUACAUUUGAAAUUACCAACCCAUUUCCUCUAUAUAUAAGCUAUAUUUUAGAGAAUGUUAUCAAUGGCGCAUGUGCCCUUCUUUUACAUUUUGGUGUCUUGAUUUUCUUUAAUAAUUAAAUUUAUGGAACAAUUGGAUGUCAGUAACAAUUUUCUUUUCUUGAUGAUUUGAAGUUAGAACGUGAAGUGUUGUCAAUGUAAUAAUAGUAAGACAGUCAAGACUUUACUAAGUCACCAAAUUGACAGUAAGCUGGGAAGUAAGAUGAUCAGUUGUUCAUGAGCUUUGUAGUUUAUAGACCUAUGACUGCAGCCAUAAAGAAUGUGUAAUUAGUACUUGAGCUGUCCAGCAAGGUGCUCUAGUCAUACGAGCAAACCUAUAUAAAGGUGGAGGCUUUGUCGUACCUUGUGGUUGCAAUUUUGUAUGGUAUUUGCAUAUACAAGAUGGAUCUGCAUUGGCAAGAAGGAAAAUAUGCUUUAAUCA
Long non-coding RNA from Hevea brasiliensis (rubber tree), 2598 nucleotides. RefSeq lists it as uncharacterized. The record is from RefSeq and is a predicted model, not a curated record. Lineage: Eukaryota; Viridiplantae; Streptophyta; Magnoliopsida; Malpighiales; Euphorbiaceae. The transcript is spliced from 2 exons.